CCUACGGGAGGCAGCAGUAGGGAAUGUUCGGCAAUGGGGGGAACCCUGACCGAGCAACGCCGCGUGAACGAAGAAGUUAUUCGUAAUGUAAAGUUCUUUUAACAGGGAAGAAAGAGAAAUUUGACGGUACCUGAAGAAUAAGCUCCGGCUAACUACGUGCCAGCAGCCGCGGUAAUACGUAGGGAGCGAGCGUUAUCCGGAAUUAUUGGGCGAAAAGGGUGCGUAGAUGGCAGAGUACGUCUUUUGUAAAAAUGCUGGGCUCAACCCAGUAGGGCAAAAGAUACUGCAAAGCUAGAGUAUGACAGAGGCAAGUGGAACUACAUGUGUAGCGGUAAAAUGCGUAAAUAUAUGUAAGAACACCAGUGGCGAAGGCGGCUUGCUGGGUCGAUACUGACAUUGAGGCACGAAAGCGUGGGGAGCAAACAGGAUUAGAUACCCGGGUAGUC
RNAcentral lists this ribosomal RNA (446 nucleotides) under uncultured bacterium. RNAcentral's name for it is "partial 16S ribosomal RNA". It matches the Rfam family "Bacterial small subunit ribosomal RNA", at positions 338 to 795 of the family's 1533-position model. The record is from RNAcentral.